Molecule: ribosomal RNA, 466 nt
Filed under: uncultured bacterium
Lineage: Bacteria
Description: partial 16S ribosomal RNA
Rfam family: Bacterial small subunit ribosomal RNA
Source: RNAcentral
GAUGAACGCUGGCGGCGUGCUUAACACAUGCAAGUCGAACGAUGACUCCCAGCUUGCUGGGUGGAUUAGUGGCGAACGGGUGAGUAACACGUUAGUAACCUGCCCUUAACUCUGGGAUAAGCCUGGGUAACUGGGUCUAAUAUCGGAUAGGAGCGUCCACCGCAUGGGGGGUGUUGGCAAGAUUUGUCGGUUUUGGUUGGACUCGCGGCCUAUCAGCUUGUUGGUGAGGUAAGGGCUCAGCAAGGCGACGACGGGUAGCCGGCCUGAGAGGGGAACAGGCCACACUGGGACUGAGACACGGCCCAGACUCCUACGGGAGGGAGCAGUGGGGAAUAGUGCACAAGGGGCGCAAGCCUGAUGCAGCGACGCCGCGUGAGGGAUGACGGCCUUCGGGUUGUAAACCUAUUUCAGUAGGGAAGAAGCGAAAGUGACGGUACCUGCAGAAGAAGCACCGGCUAACUACGUG